RNAcentral lists this ribosomal RNA (503 nucleotides) under uncultured bacterium. RNAcentral's name for it is "partial 16S ribosomal RNA". It matches the Rfam family "Bacterial small subunit ribosomal RNA", at positions 30 to 523 of the family's 1533-position model. The record is from RNAcentral.
AUUGAACGCUGGCGGCAGGCUUAACACAUGCAAGUCGAGCGGAGAGAUGGUGCUUGCACUAUCACUUAGCGGCGGACGGGUGAGUAAUGCUUAGGAAUCUGCCUAUUAGUGGGGGACAACAUCUCGAAAGGGACGCUAAUACCGCAUACGUCCUACGGGAGAAAGCAGGGGAUCACUUGUGACCUUGCGCUAAUAGAUGAGCCUAAGUCGGAUUAGCUAGUUGGUGGGGUAAAGGCCUACCAAGGCGACGAUCUGUAGCGGGUCUGAGAGGAGGAUCCGCCACACUGGGACUGAGACACGGCCCAGACUCCUACGGGAGGCAGCAGUGGGGAAUAUUGGACAAUGGGGGGAACCCUGAUCCAGCCAUGCCGCGUGUGUGAAGAAGGCCUUAUGGUUGUAAAGCACUUUAAGCGAGGAGGAGGCUCUUUUGGUUAAUACCCAAGAUGAGUGGACGUUACUCGCAGAAUAAGCACCGGCUAACUCUGUGCCAGCCGCCGCGGUAA